RNAcentral lists this long non-coding RNA (3236 nucleotides) under Ailuropoda melanoleuca (giant panda). Its description in RNAcentral is "lncRNA (ENSAMEG00000030460.1)". Lineage: Eukaryota; Metazoa; Chordata; Mammalia; Carnivora; Ursidae. The record is from RNAcentral.
CGUAGGAACCAAAACGAGCCCCUCGGUCCGAAAUGUACAUGUAAUUCCUUAUAUAGACUCGGCUGCAGCCAGCGGCAGGGCCGUUGCCGCCCAUUAUUAUACAAACAGGUACCGGGCCGGCGCGGGCGGGGUAUCUCGCCCCGCGCUCCCGCCGCCCCCGGGCGGAGAAGUCUCGCCCCUCUCGCCACAGGAACUGUCCAGACAAUAACAAUCAGCAGACAUUUCGCUGCUGAACAAGAGGGAGAGAAAGCACAGAAUCGCCCCCAAGAUAAGCAGAAAUACAAUCAACUUACAACGUCUCUCCAAACUGGAAAAGGCGACUGUGCAACAACAACCACAUGUUCGGGUCUCGCUCUCUCUUGCUGUCUCUUGCUGUCUCUCUCUUUCUCUUAUUUAUUUUUUUUAACUCUCACGCCAGGCAGAGGGGUGUGUAUUGCCCCGGCACAUCAGCACAAAUCAAUAAACACUGCAGCUGCAGCGAGAGCAGCAGACCAGUGCGUCCGUCGGUCCGUCUGCCCCCUCCCCCACUCUCCUUCCACCCGAGACCGAGAGCGCCAUCCAAGCUCCAUUAUCCGGCUUCAGCGCUCCGUGUGUCCGGCCCAGAAAUCCUCACCAAGGAGCCUCUGACCUCUUGAGACAGUGGAAGAAGCCCUGUGGUUCCAGAGAAACUCAAGACCAAAGCUAUCGAGUGGUGCCCCACUGCACCCCCCAACCAAGGAGGAGGCACAGCCUAGAGGUGGACAGCCUGGAAUAUUCCACUGCACACUGAAAUCAUGUUGGGAGAGAAAUCAGGCUAUUCUAACUUGCCCGUUAAUGUAUAGAAUUACUUAGAAUUAAUUCCACUGAGUUGUUUCUAUUUGAAAAGAACUGUAUCAGGAACUGGAAGUGUAAAAUGCUGUCCAAUAAAGAAGGCAUAAUUAGAUGAGGAUGUAAGUUAUUACAAUGUAAAGUUAAAUCGGAAGCAGAUUUAACAUGAAGUGAAAGAAGUCCCAGUGUCCGUGCCCCUCACUUACACGGGCCCCUUCUGAUACUCCAGGAGAGACCCUAGAAACAUAGGUGGUCAUAUAUUCUGGUAAACUUGGCAAACGCGAGUUUUUUUUAAACUACAGUUAACCUGUCUCUUUCCCAUCUUACUUUCCCUACUGUUGAAAGGGCCAAUGACAUUUUUGAGACCCAAAACUGAUUGCCAGCUGCACUGGUGUAGGAGUGAUUUCUAGAAACGUCUUACUACCCCUGUGCUGAUUCAUUGAGUUCAUGGCUUGAGGGUACAGAGCAGAGGCUCUACCAUGACGGGAACAUACACUGUGGCACUCAGCUUAGGAAGUAGGUGGGUCCUGGAGGAGAUGCAAGGGUCUGAAGUGUGUGUAGCCAGAAAUGAGUCUGGAGAAUUCUUCCCAUCAGACGUGUAGAACUGUAAAUGGAGGAUUUGAUUCUCAGUAGUGCCUGGUCAGAACAGAACUUGCCAAAGUCAGGAAUAUUCUUAAUAACACAGCAUAAGCAGUUAUACGCGUGUACACGCACCACCCAUUCUUUCUGUGGGUAAUUGCACAAAAUAAUAGAAUCUGUAGGUCUCGAGGCACAACCCGGCGGGAGUACUACAAAGGAGUCCAUCUAUAUGUGAAGUUCUCUAUCCUAGUCAUUCCAGUUACCAACAAUAAAAACAUGUGACCAGCCAUCACAGAGGAAAGACAGGUAGCUACUGAACGAAAAUGUUAUUUUUCUAGAUUUUGAAAUAUUCGUUGUAUUCGUUAACUCAUUAAGACUUGAUUUUGGUGUGAUUUUUUUAUUUUAAAUAAAUAUGCAAGUUCGGGGCGCCUGGGUAGCGCAGUCGUUAAGCGUCUGCCUUCAGCUCAGGGCGUGAUCCUGGUGUUCCGGGAUCGAGUCCCACAUCAGGCUCCUCUGCUGUGAGCCUGCUUCUUCCUCUCCCACUCCCCCUGUUUGUGUUCCCUCUCUCGCUGGCUGUCUCUCUGUCACAUAAAUAAAUAAAAUCUUAAAAAUAAAUAAAUAUGCAUUUUCAUAUCUAAUUUUGCAUUAAUAACUUUCAAUCAUUCUUCCUAAAGAGGUCCCCCCAAACUGUUUAACUUCACGGCCUGUGAAACCUGGAUCUGUCCCAGUACAAAGCAACGAGCAUGAUGAGAGAGAAACGUAAGAGGGUCUGUGGGAGUUCUGAGAAAGCAGACAUUAUUCAGGACAGAGAUAAUCAAAGAAGGGUUUUAUCUGAGCUAUGAUCAAGCAGAAGAACUUGAAUUCAGAGAUACAGCAAAUAAUGUUCUAAACGAAAAAGCGAAUGCUUCAUAACAUUUUUUUAAGUUUACACACAGUAGAGUCUUAAUGAGUUAAGCAUAUGGCUAUUCCAAUAUCCUUCUACACUUAACGUUUACAAACACAUCUUAAUGAAAGAAGAUCUUGCUGGAAAGACGAUUUAUUCACAGUGUGGUUUCAAUGAGUUAAGCAUACGGCUAUUCCCAUAUGCUUCUUCACAUAUAUUUACAAACACUUAUGUCUUUUUAUUUAUGUAUUUAUUAUCUUUUUAUUUUUUUUAAAGUUUUCAGUUUAAUUCCAGUUAGUUACAACAUACAGAAUUUUAUUAGUUUCAAGUGUACAAUAUAGUGAUUCCACUUCCACACAUCACCCAGUGCUCAUCUUCAUGUUUAAUAAUUUCUACCCCUUGGGGUGCCUGGGUGGCACAGCAGUUAAGCAUCUGCCUUCGGCUCAGGGCGUGAUCCCGGCGUUAUGGGAUCGAGCCCCACAUCAGGCUCCUCUGCUAUGAGCCUGCUUCUUCCUCUCCCACUCCCCCUGCUUGUGUUCCCUCUCUCGCUGGCUGUCUCUAUCUCUGUCGAAUAAAGAAAUUAAAAAAUCUUUAAAAAAAAAUAAUAAUUUCUACCCCUGGUUCUACUCACUCAUAUACUGUUUGUCAUUGACACAUCCCCUUCUCCACCUUCACAUCCUUUCUGAUUCCAUAUCUAAAAACCUCUCUGCUGGUGUUUUGUGGACAUGGGUUCAAGUAACAGAUCAAUGCAAACUUGGGUGCUCAAAAAAGAGAAAUUUUCAGGCUGGACUCUGCGUUGGAGUCCACACCCAGAGAAAUGGGACAGUUCUGUAAUGCAGUCCAGGUCCUAUUUCAUAAAUUAAGACAAACACUAAUAUUACAUAAGCAAAGCGAACUUUCUCCCCUGUUAUUUAAUGAUGAUAUAAUUAGUGAACAGGAGUUAGAGAAAGUCCUAUUUUUGAGCUCU